GUGGGGAAUUUUGGACAAUGGGCGCAAGCCUGAUCCAGCCAUGCCGCGUGCAGGAUGAAGGCCUUCGGGUUGUAAACUGCUUUUGUACGGAACGAAAAAGCUCUCUCUAAUACAGGGGGUGAAUGACGGUACCGUAAGAAUAAGCACCGGCUAACUACGUGCCAGCAGCCGCGGUAAUACGUAGGGUGCAAGCGUUAAUCGGAAUUACUGGGCGUAAAGCGUGCGCAGGCGGUUAUGUAAGACAGAGGUGAAAUCCCCGGGCUCAACCUGGGAACUGCCGUUGUGACUGCAUAGCUGGAGUGCGGCAGAGGGGGAUGGAAUUCCGCGUGUAGCAGUGAAAUGCGUAGAUAUGCGGAGGAACACCGAUGGCGAAGGCAAUCCCCUGGGCCUGCACUGACGCUCAUGCACGAAAGCGUGGGGAGCAAACAGGAUUAGAAACCCCUGUAGUCC
RNAcentral lists this ribosomal RNA (450 nucleotides) under uncultured bacterium. Its description in RNAcentral is "bacterial SSU rRNA". It matches the Rfam family "Bacterial small subunit ribosomal RNA", at positions 354 to 796 of the family's 1533-position model. The record is from RNAcentral.